UAUAAGGGAGGAGACUAACGCGCCCGGUAACCUGGCCUGUGCGCAUAUUCACCUGCGCAUCCAGCAUCUCAUCCUUUUGUCUCCAGUGGGUUGGUGCGGCGUGUGCUGCUGGGUUUUCUUUGUAUUGGCGAUUUUUUUUUGAGAGGUAGAUGGGUUCACCGACUGGCGACUUCGGCCUUAAAGGAAAUUAGCCCCCUUGGUAGAGUGGAAUGAGUUUUCACGGUGCCAUGUCUAUUAAUAAAGUUAAGCACCCGUAAGGAAUCUCGUCACGUCAUUUAUUGAACCAAGGGUCCGCUAC
Myripristis murdjan (pinecone soldierfish) is the source of this 298-nucleotide long non-coding RNA. RefSeq lists it as uncharacterized. The record is from RefSeq and is a predicted model, not a curated record. The transcript has 3 exons. NCBI's taxonomy places the organism in Eukaryota, Metazoa, Chordata, Actinopteri, Holocentriformes, Holocentridae.